AACGAACGCUGGCGGCAUGCCUAACACAUGCAAGUCGAACGAAGGCUUCGGCCUUAGUGGCGCACGGGUGCGUAACGCGUGGGAAUCUGCCCUUUGGUUCGGAAUAACAGCUGGAAACGGCUGCUAAUACCGGAUGAUGACGAAAGUCCAAAGAUUUAUCGCCAGAGGAUGAGCCCGCGUUGGAUUAGGUAGUUGGUGGGGUAAAGGCCUACCAAGCCGACGAUCCAUAGCUGGUCUGAGAGGAUGAUCAGCCACACUGGGACUGAGACACGGCCCAGACUCCUACGGGAGGCAGCAGUGGGGAAUAUUGGACAAUGGGCGCAAGCCUGAACCAGCAAUGCCGCGUGAGUGAUGAAGGCCCGAGGGUUGUAAAGCUCUUUUACCCGGGAAGAUAAUGACUGUACCGGGAGAAUAAGCCCCGGCUAACUCCGUG
This 433-nucleotide ribosomal RNA is filed under the name uncultured bacterium. Its description in RNAcentral is "partial 16S ribosomal RNA". It matches the Rfam family "Bacterial small subunit ribosomal RNA", at positions 29 to 507 of the family's 1533-position model. The record is from RNAcentral.